AGAGUUUGAUCCUGGCUCAGAAUCAACGCUGGCGGCGCGCUUAACACAUGCAAGUCGCACGAGAAAGGGGCAACCUGAGUAAAGUGGCGUACGGGUGAGUAACACGUGGGUAUCUACCUCUGAGUGGGGAAUAACUCUGGGAAACCGGAGCUAAUACCGCAUAAGCCUGAUAAGGGAAAGCAGCAAUGCGCUCGGAGAGGAGCCCGCGGUCGAUUAGCUUGUUGGUGAGGUAACGGCUCACCAAGGCUGUGAUCGAUAGCCGGCCUGAGAGGGCACACGGCCACACUGGCACUGAAACACGGGCCAGACUCCUACGGGAGGCAGCAGUGGGGAAUCUUGCACAAUGGGGGAAACCCUGAUGCAGCGACGCCGCGUGGGUGAUGAAGUCCUUCGGGAUGUAAAGCCCUUUCGACGGGAACGAUAAUGACGGUACCCGGAGAAGAAGCUGCGGCUAACUACGUGCCAGCCGCCGCGGUAAUUC
RNAcentral lists this ribosomal RNA (481 nucleotides) under uncultured bacterium. Its description in RNAcentral is "bacterial SSU rRNA". It matches the Rfam family "Bacterial small subunit ribosomal RNA", at positions 8 to 526 of the family's 1533-position model. The record is from RNAcentral.